UUAGUUCUAUGAUUUUGCAAUUGCGAAUUGUGCUGCUAUAAACAAGCAUGUGCAAGUAUCUUUUUUGUAUAAUGAGUUCUUUUCCUCUGGAUAUACACUUGGCUGGGUAUGUCUGCUGAUCUUGGCUGGGCUCGCACAUGUGUCUGCUGGUUGUGUGAGAGGCUCUGUUCUAGGCUGGGUUUGGCUGGAACAGCUCUGCUUCAUGUCCUUGUCUCUCCCUGCAGGGACCAGUGUGCUAGCCCAGGGAUGUUCUUCUCAUGGCAAUGACGGAGUGCAAGCAGACACAUGCACAGCCUCUAGAGGACUACAUUUGGCACCAGCUUACUGUCACUUUUGCCUCAUUCUGUUGACCACAAUCUUCUGAACAUGUCCCCAUUCCGUGAGCCCACAGUGAUCUGUUUGUUUUGCCUGGUCCCAGCUCAUGCAUUCUUCAAGUCUUGGUAACCAGGAUGUUUUGUCUGUUCAGGCUCUAAACGAUCAGUGGGACAGGAACCGAAGUUAAGUAGCUCAGGAUGCAUCAAGAUGAACUUGGGAAAACCGCGAGCCGCUGUGCUGACUGGACUGCUUCUCUGAAUCAGCUGGAACUUCUUUUUGUGUCUAGUUUUAAAAGCUCCUCGGAAGCAAUCCUAAAUCCAGAAUCGUUUCAAUUAUUAUGAGGGGAAUUCUGAAGUUCUCAUUAAACACACGAAUGACUCAAGCUUUGAAAAGAGCCAGAUGCCACAGGCAAGAAUCCCAGGGCAUUGCCCACCUGGGUGUGAUCCCCUGAUAACUGUCUAACGAACUCAGCAUGUGUCCCCCGGGGCAUGACCAUCUGCUGGGCAAAGCUCCAGGACCCUGAGACAUCCUGGAAUUCCUGUGGUUUAGGAAAGACCUUUAACUACCAGUGGUAGUUGUCUCAUCGUUCUUCAAAUAAUCUGGUCUUGUUUAUUAUUAUCAUUACUAUUUAAUUUUAUUUUAUUACAGCUGUACUUGGAGAAUAGUCCGGUCUUGAGGCCUUUUCACUGUGGUCUGUUCUAGUGUAUGGCUCCCACCAGUGUGAAGCAGAAGGAUGACUUUGCUCUGUUGUCAGGACAACCUUGAAGGAAGGAGCCAAAUGUGUGGAGGUCUGUG
Molecule: long non-coding RNA, 1110 nt
Filed under: Macaca mulatta (Rhesus monkey)
Lineage: Eukaryota; Metazoa; Chordata; Mammalia; Primates; Cercopithecidae
Description: lncRNA (ENSMMUG00000059457.1)
Source: RNAcentral